UGGGGAAUUUUGGACAAUGGGGGCAACCCUGAUCCAGCCAUGCCGCGUGAGUGAAGAAGGCCUUCGGGUUGUAAAGCUCUUUCGGACGGAACGAAAUGGUCAGGGUGAAUAUCCCUGACUGAUGACGGUACUGUAAGAAGAAGCACCGGCUAACUACGUGCCAGCAGCCGCGGUAAUACGUAGGGUGCGAGCGUUAAUCGGAAUCACUGGGCGUAAAGCGCGUGUAGGCGGUCUGCUAAGUCUGAUGUGAAAGCCCGGGGCUCACCCCCGGAAGUGCAUUGGAAACUGACAGACUGGAGUCCCGGAGAGGAGGGUGGAAUUCCUGGUGUAGCGGUGAAAUGCGUAGAUAUCAGGAGGAACACCGGUGGCGAAGGUGGCCCUCUGGACGGUGACUGACGCUGAGACGCGAAAGCGUGGGGAGCAAACAGGAUUAGAUACCCCCGUAGUCCCUGAGCGGGCUGGCAAGGCGCAU
Molecule: ribosomal RNA, 472 nt
Filed under: uncultured bacterium
Lineage: Bacteria
Description: bacterial SSU rRNA
Rfam family: Bacterial small subunit ribosomal RNA
Source: RNAcentral